Molecule: transfer RNA, 91 nt
Filed under: Candidatus Poribacteria bacterium
Lineage: Bacteria; Candidatus Poribacteria
Description: tRNA-Ser
Rfam family: tRNA
About the family: Transfer RNA (tRNA) molecules are approximately 80 nucleotides in length.
Source: RNAcentral
GGAGAGAUGCGAGAGCUGGUUGAAUCGGCAUGACUGGAAAUCAUGUGUGCGGGAAACUGUACCGGGGGUUCGAAUCCCCCUCUCUCCGCCA